Molecule: ribosomal RNA, 205 nt
Filed under: uncultured bacterium
Lineage: Bacteria
Description: partial 16S ribosomal RNA
Rfam family: Bacterial small subunit ribosomal RNA
Source: RNAcentral
GACUGUGGUCUGCAACUCGACCACACGAAGCUGGAAUCGCUAGUAAUCGCGAAUCAGCAUGUCGCGGUGAAUACGUUCCCGGGUCUUGUACACACCGCCCGUCACACCAUGGGAGUCAGCAACGCCCGAAGUCAGUGACCUAACCGAGAGGAAGGAGCUGCCGAAGGCGGGGCAGGUAACUGGGGUGAAGUCGUAACAAGGUACC